AUUUUGUCUGUUCUUUGUAUGUAUCACGUAAGGAAAACAAAUUAGUGAGUCAUCUUAGAACUUGUAAACAUUCACUUGCACUAAUAGAUGUAAGUGUAAUGAUGCUAACCAAUGCAGAUGAUUUUCAUUACUCUUUCCUCCCACCAAAGGCUUGAAGUCAUGGCAAGUUAAGCUUAAGAUUCUCAAGAUUCCCCACAACAUAGCAGCAAUGCUUUAGAGAGUUUGUGCAGCUUGUUAUGAGGGAUGCCAUGCAUGGUUCUUGCAGUGUAUAUUUUCAUUUCGUCUGAAUACUUGGCACACUCUAACAGUAAACAGAGGUCUAGGAGAAAGAUUUAACUUGUGAAGGGAGAGAUUUAAAGGAGACUUGAAGGACUAACUUUUCACACAAAGCAUCGGUGGAGCUGCCUGAGAAGGUGGCAGAGGUGGAUACAUUAACAACGUUUAGGAGACAUUUGGACAGGAAGCAAGUUGAAGAAUCGCCACAGAACAGCGGAAGGACAGUGAUAAAAAUGCAGGGGAUAUGGAGGGAUAUGGCAUCCUCCAUUAUGUCUACAAACCCAUCAUAACCCAUCAAACUAGCUUGCCGGCUCCUAUGCCAUCCGUGGUCACCAACUAUUGCAAAAUGCAUGCAGAUCAAGAAGUCUGUAUUUGUCGCGCACAGCUCAAAACAUAUUUUAAUAAAAGGUUGGAAUUGUAAAAGUUGAGAGAGUUAA
Long non-coding RNA from Leucoraja erinaceus (little skate), 713 nucleotides. RefSeq lists it as uncharacterized. The transcript is spliced from 3 exons. The record is from RefSeq and is a predicted model, not a curated record. NCBI's taxonomy places the organism in Eukaryota, Metazoa, Chordata, Chondrichthyes, Rajiformes, Rajidae.